ACUCCUACGGGAGGCAGCAGUGGGGAAUAUUGCACAAUGGGGCACCAGCAUGCAGCCAUGCCGCGUGUAUGAAGAAGGCCUUCGGGUUGUAAAGUACUUUCAGCAGUGAGGAAGGUGGGUAUGUUAAUAGCAUACACAUUUGACGUUAGCUGCAGAAGAAGCACCGGCUAACUCCGUGCCAGCAGCCGCGGUAAUACGGAGGGUGCGAGCGUUAAUCGGAAUUACUGGGCGUAAAGCGCAUGCAGGUGGUUUGUUAAGUCAGAUGUGAAAGCCCGGGGCUCAACCUCGGAAUUGCAUUUGAAACUGGCAAACUAGAGUACUGUAGAGGGGGGUAGAAUUUCAGGUGUAGCGGUGAAAUGCGUAGAGAUCUGAAGGAAUACCGGUGGCGAAGGCGGCCCCCUGGACAGAUACUGACACUCAGAUGCGAAAGCGUGGGAGCAAACAGGAUUAGAUACCCUGGUAGUGUACUGU
This 471-nucleotide ribosomal RNA is filed under the name uncultured bacterium. Its description in RNAcentral is "bacterial SSU rRNA". It matches the Rfam family "Bacterial small subunit ribosomal RNA", at positions 335 to 803 of the family's 1533-position model. The record is from RNAcentral.